RNAcentral lists this long non-coding RNA (3267 nucleotides) under Homo sapiens (human). RNAcentral's name for it is "HSALNT0264346". Lineage: Eukaryota; Metazoa; Chordata; Mammalia; Primates; Hominidae. The record is from RNAcentral.
GGGUGUCACUCUCUUCAGCCGCCAUAAUGAAGAAUGUGUGCAUGCAUUUGAGAGAGUGAAAGAACCAGAGACUACAGAGGUCACAGAACAGUUUAUAACCUUGUAGUAUCUGACAUUUCCUGAUACUUGGUGCUAGUAGAUCAAAAUUUACCCAACUCUCAGAAAGAAGAGUCUAUGUCCCUGUACACAGAAUCUGGCUUGACUUUGCGACUUGCUUUCACCAAUCAAAUGCAGAAGAAGUGAAGUCUGGUCCUCAGGAGGUUUUGUACUCCUCUGCUGACUCUCCUGGGAUGCUAAAAACGCCAUGAGUCCUAGUUACGACUAACUUACAUGGCCUAGUCACCUCCAUUGUCCAAGCCAAUAGGUACCCAGCCAUCACACCUAGAGUGAGGCCAUUCCAAUCUCCAGCUGAUCUGCUGUGGAUGAGCAUGGCCAAGAUCAACUGAGCUUGGCUCAGAUGAGCAAGACUCCCUGGAUAACCUACAAUCUUGUGGAGAAAUGGAGGCACUCAUGGAUCAAGCAUUUUCCCAGGGCCACAUAGUUAAUGUAGCACUUAGAAGACUGGGUAUCUUUUUCAAUGCCACAUAGUAGCACAGCUAGGAGUUGAACCAGGCAGUCUGGUGCUACAGGCCAUACAUUUUGACAUGUGUUUUGUUGCCUCUUGACAAAGUCCAUGGACUGUGAUCCUGGGACCAACAGCAUCAGUAUCAACUGGGAACUUCUUAGAAAUUCAAAUUCUUGGGGCUAUUCCCCAAAUUUCUGAGUCAGAAGCUCUGGGGAUAGGGCCCAGCAAGCUAUGUGUUAACAGACUUUUUAGAUCAGGGGUUCCCCCCAACUCCCAGGCCAAGAACCAGUACCAGUCUGUGGCCUGUUAGGAACCAGGCUGCACAGCAGGAGGUGAGGGCAGGUGAGCAUUACUGCCUGAGCCCUGCCUCCUCCUAUCAGAUCAGUGGUGUCAUGGCAUUAGAUUCUCACAGGAUCAAGAACCAUAUUGUGAACUGCACACACAAGGGAUAUAGGCUGCAUGCUCCUUAUAAGCAUCUAAUGCCUGAUGACCUGAGCUAGAACAAUUUCAUCCUGAAACCACCUCCCCCUUCCCCCAACCCCGUCCGUGAAAAAAUUGUCUUCUAUGAAACUGGCCCCUGGUGCCAAAAAGGUUGGGGGUGGCUGUUUCAGAUUAUUCUUACUCAGGAUAAAAUUUGAGGACACCUGCCCUAGCUCCUUAAAUUUAAGCUAUAAUUCAUAAAUUGGGUUCUUACGGUGCAUUAGAAUAAUGCAUUGAAUAGGUGAUUUUUGGAUGACUCCUAUGUGCUAACUACCAUUGUACUUGUAGGUGUUACCAUGCAGAACAAAAGCCGUCUCUGCAUCUACACUCUUGGUAAUUGAGACUUUGUGGCUGCUCGUUUGAAGAGAUAGAAUCUAAUUCCCUAGCCUUGUCUCUGGACUGGCCUUAUGAUUCUCUUUAACCAUAGAAUGUGGGAGAAGUGAUGAUGUGCCUAUUCUAAGUCUAGGCCUCAAGAAGUCUUGAAAGAUUCUGUUCCCUCUUGGUUAGUCCACUGGAGGAUGAGAGACCCACGGCCCAAUAACCUCCAUUGCCUCGGCCAACAGACAGUCAACUUCCAGUCUCACCAUUGCCUAGACUACCACAGGGACCACAGACACAUAACGGUGCCCAGCCAAGACAAGAAGAAACAUCCAGCUGAGUCCAGCCUAAAUUGCUGAUCUGCAGAAUUGAAAACUUGGGAGGAAGACAUACUAUACCACAUGGUCCUUUCCUUUUUCUGUGGAUGGCAAAAAGAUGCAUCACUUCCCGGAGCUUAUGAUAGAAGAUGCUCCUUCGCCAGUGUGAGACACUUAAAAGGACAAUGAUUUGUGCAGGGAACUAACCCUGUGUGCUACGUGUCCUUUUGCUCCAUUUUACUGAUGUGACAAUUGGAGCAGAAUAGUUUAUGUGGCAAAUUUUCCCAGCAUUUAUUUGCACUGCUUACUACAUUCACAUUCUAGUUUACAAAUCUUGACAAAGACAACUGAAUAGGUGUUUUGCAUGAAUGUACUUAUUUUGUAUUGAAGUAUGACACACAUGCAGAGAAGUGACAUUGUCAUAAGCAAAUGGCUUGAUGGCUUUUACAAACUGAAUGUAUGUAUAACCAACAUCGAGAACUAGAAGCAGCUUUUUCAGCCCCUCCUUCCUGAAACUUUUCCUCUCCUUCCACCUUGACCAAGUGUAAUCUCUCUCCUGACCUCUGGCAGAAUAGGUUAGUUUUGCUUAUUUUUAUUUUUAUAUGAGGUGAAUCUCUAGUGUCUGGGUUCUUUUCCUGAAAGCUGUGUUUAUGGAAUUCAUCCAUAUCAUUGUAUGUGGUUAUAGAUUCUCAUUGCUGUGUAGUAGUUCAAUGGCAUGAAUAUACACUAAUCAUUUAUCCGUUCCACUGUUGAUGUGCAAUUGGAGAAUUUCCAAUUUAGAGCUAUUAUGAAUAAUGCUGCUAGAGCCAUUCUAAUGCAUAUCUUCCAGUGAACACAUAUACGCAGUUCUCUUGGGAAUAUUCCUAAGUGUGGAAUUGCUGGGUCGUAGAUGUACAUUUUUAAAAAUCAUAAUAUUAGAGUCGAGUAUGCAGAAUUGACUGAAUUCUAAAACCAAAAGCUAAUUUUUUGAAGUGUGAAUUUCUGUUUGGGGAAAGUGAAUAAUGUGAAGAAACAUAACAUUUUUAUUUAUGGAAAUAAAUUUCAUGUCCUCUGAGCUAACAUCGCCCGUUCUUACGUCUGAAUGGCAGGAUGUUGAGUGUGCUGACGCGGUCAUUUUCUGCGGGGCUGCUCCCAGCUUAGCAUUCUUGCCACAUAAACUCUUCUAGCCCAAACCUUGAAAUACUGCAGGAAGUGGCAUCAGCCCUUUUGUGUUCUUUUCCGGCACCAGGUUGCUCAUCUCUCCCUGUGCCCAUUUGAGGUAAUAUACUGACAGUUGUCAAGAUGAGUCAUGGCUCUUUCUCAGACACACAGGGAGACCAAGUUUGUGACUAAUCGACAAAUCCUCUGGACACAGGCUGAGCCACCAAGAGCCACCCUCGUCCCGGCAAGUUCAGGCCUGGGCUGCAACCUCUGACAGCCAGAGGGGAAAGCAAACAUUGGCAGAACAGUUCUGUUUAUUUGCUUCUCUGAUUUUGAAGACAUGCAGCUUUCUCUCACUCUUCUCCAUUUCCUCUAAAAAAUUUUAUUAAUCUUAGCUUAUUUAUGGCCUUUAGCGUUUGUCUGCCUGUUCAUGCAUGUGCUCAGAAU